Molecule: ribosomal RNA, 391 nt
Filed under: Rhizosolenia sp.
Lineage: Eukaryota; Bacillariophyta; Coscinodiscophyceae; Rhizosoleniales; Rhizosoleniaceae
Description: partial small subunit ribosomal RNA
Rfam family: Eukaryotic small subunit ribosomal RNA
Source: RNAcentral
AUUCCAGCUCCAAUAGUGUAUAUUAAAGUUGUUGCAGUUAAAAAGCUCGUAGUUGGAUUUCUGGCGGGAGCGAUCGGUCCUUCACUCAGUGUUGGAACCUGAUUGUCUCCUGCCAUCCAUGGAGAAAACUUAUCUGGCAUUAAGUUGUCGGGUAGGCAAUCUCCAUCUUUUACUGUGAAAAAAUUAGAGUGUUCAAAGCAGGCUUAUGCCGUUGAAUAUAUUAGCAUGGAAUAAUGAGAUAGGACCUUGGUACUAUUUUGUUGGUUUGCGCACCGAGGUAAUGAUUAAUAGGGACAGUUGGGGGUAUUCGUAUUCCAUUGUCAGAGGUGAAAUUCUUGGAUUUUUGGAAGACGAACUACUGCGAAAGCAUUUACCAAGGAUGUUUUCAUUA